AUACGGAGGGUGCAAGCGUUAAUCGGAAUUACUGGGCGUAAAGCGUACGUAGGCGGUCCGUUAAGUUAGAUGUGAAAGCCCCGGGCUUAACCUGGGAACUGCAUUUAAAACUGGCGGACUAGAGUUGAGUAGAGGGGAGUGGAAUUUCAGGUGUAGCGGUGAAAUGCGUAGAGAUCUGAAGGAGCACCAGUGGCGAAGGCGACUCCCUGGACUCGAACUGACGCUGAGGUACGAAAGCGUGGGUAGCAAACGGUAUUAGAAACCCCAGUAGUCC
This 274-nucleotide ribosomal RNA is filed under the name uncultured bacterium. RNAcentral describes it as "partial 16S ribosomal RNA". It matches the Rfam family "Bacterial small subunit ribosomal RNA", at positions 523 to 796 of the family's 1533-position model. The record is from RNAcentral.